UGGGGAAUUUUGGACAAUGGGCGAAAGCCUGAUCCAGCAAUGCCGCGUGUGUGAAGAAGGCCUUCGGGUUGUAAAGCACUUUUGUCCGGAAAGAAAUGGCUCUGGUUAAUACCUGGGGUCGAUGACGGUACCGGAAGAAUAAGGACCGGCUAACUACGUGCCAGCAGCCGCGGUAAUACGUAGGGUCCAAGCGUUAAUCGGAAUUACUGGGCGUAAAGCGUGCGCAGGCGGUUGUGCAAGACCGAUGUGAAAUCCCCGAGCUUAACUUGGGAAUUGCAUUGGUGACUGCACGGCUAGAGUGUGUCAGAGGGGGGUUAGAAUUCCACGUGUAGCAGUGAAAUGCGUAGAGAUGUGGAGGAAUACCGAUGGCGAAGGCAGCCCCCAUGGGAUAACACUGACGCUCAUGCACGAAAAGCGUGGGGAGCAAAACAGGAUUAGAUACCCUGGUAGUCCCACGCCCUAAAAGCGAUGUCAACUAGUUGUUGGGGGCAUUUCAUUUUCCCUUAGUAACGUAGCUAACGCGUGAAGUUGACCGCCUGGGGAGUACGGUCGCAAGAUUAAAAGCUCAAAUGAAUUGACGGGG
RNAcentral lists this ribosomal RNA (583 nucleotides) under uncultured bacterium. Its description in RNAcentral is "partial 16S ribosomal RNA". It matches the Rfam family "Bacterial small subunit ribosomal RNA", at positions 355 to 918 of the family's 1533-position model. The record is from RNAcentral.